AAAGAAAUUAAAUAAAUAAAUAGUUUAAAGCAUAAAAUUCGUAAAAAAAAAAAAAACCAACCUUAUUAAUAGAGGAAAUUGUCAUCCAGUCAGAAGUAUUAGGCAACAAUAACUCUGUUGUGAUCUCAUAAGAUGUUGUGGGCACCACGCGUACUACAAUAGAGCAUUCAACUAGCCCAUCUUUGGCCAAGAAAUCCGGUUAAUUUGUGAAACUGCAUCGUGAUGGGGAUAGAGUAUUGCAAUUAUUAGUCUUCAACGAGGAAUGCCUAGUAAGCGCAAGUCAUCAGCUGCUAUUCUGGAAUAUAUUUUUCGGCUUU
This 317-nucleotide ribosomal RNA is filed under the name Chlorococcum sp. RAP13. RNAcentral describes it as "partial 18S ribosomal RNA". It matches the Rfam family "Eukaryotic small subunit ribosomal RNA", at positions 1334 to 1642 of the family's 1831-position model. The record is from RNAcentral. Lineage: Eukaryota; Viridiplantae; Chlorophyta; Chlorophyceae; Chlamydomonadales; Chlorococcaceae.